AUGUACCCCUCGUACAUUCCGGUUCUGAGCGCGCCGUCCGCGCCCACCUGACAGCUGCUCGCUACGUUUUGUUAGCC
This 77-nucleotide small RNA is filed under the name Xanthomonas citri. RNAcentral describes it as "sX9 sRNA". It matches the Rfam family "Xanthomonas sRNA sX9". RNAcentral also lists the same sequence under 20 other names. The record is from RNAcentral. Lineage: Bacteria; Pseudomonadati; Pseudomonadota; Gammaproteobacteria; Lysobacterales; Lysobacteraceae.